Molecule: ribosomal RNA, 407 nt
Filed under: uncultured bacterium
Lineage: Bacteria
Description: partial 16S ribosomal RNA
Rfam family: Bacterial small subunit ribosomal RNA
Source: RNAcentral
GACGAACGCUGGCGGCGUGCCUAAUACAUGCAAGUAGAACGCAGUUGCGAACGGGUGAGUAACGUGUAGGUAACUGCCUCAUAGAGGGGGAUAACAAUUGGAACAGAUAGCUAAUAACGCAUACUGUGAGAUGGACCCGCGUUGUAUUAGCUAGUUGGUGAGGUAAAGGCUCACCAAGGCGACGAUACAUAGCCGGCCUGAGAGGGUGAUCGGCUACACUGGGACUAAUACACGGCCCAUACGCCUACGGGAGACUGCAGUAGGGACGCUUCGGCAAUGGACGGAAGUCUUACCGCGCAACGCCGCGUGUGUGAAUAAGGUUUUCAGAUCGUAAAGCUCUGUUCUUAGAUAAGCGGUAACUAGCCAGAAAGGGACGGCUAACUACGUGCCAGCAGCCGCGGUAAUAC